GGGGAUGCCAGGUCUCGACGGGAGAGGCUGGUUCCGGAUUGCGAGCCGAGAGGUACCGACCUCGUAUAAAUCAGUACAAAAACACAAGUGCCAAUCGCACAAGCUACGCUACCCUUCCUUUAGCUGCAUAAGUUAAAGUUCAAAGGUAGCUAACCUCCAAGAUGAGGUUACGUCCCCUGAAGUCGUUUUUCUGACCGAAUUCAGCAAGGAUGUCAUAGAAGUCAGAAUGCUGAGUCAAAAGUCGCGAUAAACUCAAAAGAGGAUCAUUGGAUUCAAGCGAAUAGUUUGCCGGUAGUUGCGCAGAACACCUUAUGGCAAAUGAAAUGAAAUCUUCUGCUACGCUCGUAGAUGUUCGAGAGCUUAAUCUUUCGGACGCGGGUUCGAUUCCCGCCAUCUCCACUA
Molecule: transfer-messenger RNA, 402 nt
Filed under: Anaerolineaceae
Lineage: Bacteria; Bacillati; Chloroflexota; Anaerolineae; Anaerolineales
Also listed under: 1 other name
Description: T78 sp017995665 Standard tmRNA
Rfam family: transfer-messenger RNA
About the family: Bacterial tmRNA, also known as 10Sa RNA or SsrA, is named for its dual tRNA and mRNA-like properties. Its role is to liberate the mRNA from a stalled ribosome. To accomplish this part of the tmRNA is used as a reading frame that ends in a translation stop signal.
Source: RNAcentral